RNAcentral lists this ribosomal RNA (2981 nucleotides) under Trichinella sp. T6. RNAcentral's name for it is "eukaryotic LSU rRNA". The stretch from base 1458 to 2981 matches the Rfam family "Eukaryotic large subunit ribosomal RNA". Lineage: Eukaryota; Metazoa; Nematoda; Enoplea; Trichinellida; Trichinellidae. The record is from RNAcentral.
AAUCUUCUUGCAUUCCCAUGGCGGGGCCUGGGGAGUUCAUCAAGAUCUUGGGGGUCCCCAUAGCCCCUAAUGGCAAGCCCUCUUUCGAUAUAGACACACUGGAAGGAACCCUGCAGAGGAUCCGAAAAGCCCCCCUGAAGCCCGCACAAAAACUUGCCAUUGUGCGGGACUACCUAAUCUCUUCUCUAGAAUAUAAGCUCGGAGUCCCUGGGGUAGGUAGGAUAGUACUAGACGAGGUUGAUGCCUCAAUUAGACAAACGGUCAAACGCUUCCUGCACCUCCCACACACCGGCAUGAACAGCAUGUUCCUCACCAUGCCUAUCAAAGACGGCGGGCUAGGUCUGCGCUCGCUCCGCACACAGCACCUCGCACGCGUCGCAGUUGGCACUAACAGCAUGAUGAGUAGUGCCGACCCGACAUCACAUACCAUUGCCAGCAUGCCACAACACCAAAAACCUUUGCAUGCCGCACUGCAGCACUUCUCCGUACCGGCAGCCACAAAGGACGCGUUGAAGAAGGUGAAGCGACAACUGCUCUGCGCAGAAAUCGCUGAACUAACGGAAACGUACCAGGGCAGCUGCCUGCCGACAUUCAGGAAGAGGCCUGUGGGUAAUUCCUGGCUGAGCGGACUUAACGGAAUGCGAAGCCGGGACUUCAUCACUGGGCUUAAACUCCGCUUUGGGGUGAUUGAAACUCGCUCCCAGAAGUGGAGGGGGAGAACUCCCCAAAACCCAGCGGUGUUGCUGUGCAGACAUUGCGGGCAUUCAACCGGUAAACGGGAGACUGCCGCGCAUAUUUCACAGAAAUGCCCUCAGACUAAAAACCUGAACAUCCAGCGGCACAACAAGAUUGUCCAUCUUGUUGCGGAGCAUGCACGGAGAGAAGGGUUCACGGUGCAUGUUGAACAUGCCUUAAAGUCAGAUGGUCAGGUCUACAAACCUGACCUCAUCCUGACUAAAGGGAAUGCCGCACACGUCCUCGAUGUGGCGGUACCAUGGGAAACGGGCACUGACAUGCAUGAACACCACGAGCGCAAGGUUACUAAAUACUGCAUGAUAAGCGACGACGUUAAAGCACACUUUGGCGUCGAUAGCUGCACAGUGGGUGCUAUUGUAGUGGGCGCCAGGUCCAGCUGGUGUGCCAGCAAUAAAACCACACUUAAAGCAUGUAACACACACUUCACCAAAAGGUUCAAGCGAUUGCUCUGCAGGGUAGCCCUAGAGGGCACCUGCAGGGUCUUCCAGACCUUUUUCACCAGCACCCCAUGACACUGCACCCUAAAAUAAAAACAAAAAAAAAUAAAAUAACAAAUAAAAAAAAUGAUAAAAUUAAAAAAGAACAAAAAAAUGCCUUGCAUGCUUGGCCUUGCAUGAUGCUUGAGAUCCCCCAUUAGGGGGGAUGAUAACCUUUAUUUAUAGGCACUUAUGGAAUCGUGCGUGGACCAAGAUGGCUGCCGCUGAAGUUGGACCGAACCGGAUAAACGCGCCGUAGAACCGACGCCGAACAACCGUAAGGGAAGACGAAGACGGGAUGCCGUUGGAAAUCUACCUACGAAUCCUAAGCGAACAACAGCAGUCGGGAAAGAAGACCAAAGACAACGGCUCCACCGGAGCCGCCCCCCUGAAGCCGGGCCCUCAUUGCUGUUCCCACUACACUCCCCUCGACAACCUGCCCCCAUGUAUAUUGUUAAAAUCGGUACCGGCCGUCACCGGGCUGCUAUGCAGUACUUAUGUUUUUCACACAUAACAGAUGUUAUACUAUUAUGAUAAUUCAAUAAAACACCAUUCGUGCGCGUCACUAUUAUUAGAACGACGAAAGCCGGCGCUCUUCGGAGUGUCCUGCAAAUUCCGAAUGUAGCCAAAUGCCCCGUCAUCUAAUUAGUGACGCGUAUGAAUGGAUCAACAAGAUUCCUUCUGUCCCUAUCUACUAUCUAGCGUAACCACAGCCAAGGGAACGGGCUUGGCAAAAUCAGCGGGGAAAGAAGACCCUGUUGAGCUUGACUCUAGUCUGACUCUGUGAAGAGACAUGAAAGGUGUAGCAUAGGUGGGAGAUUGUCAAAUUGCCAUCGUUCGCGCGGUGGUCCGGUGAUCGCCAAUGAAAUACCACUACUUUGAUCGUUUCUUUACUUAUUCGGUAAAGCGAAAAAAUUGUGGCCAAUUUGGCGGUGUUUAUGUCGCUGUUGGUCAUUGUUUUCAUGUUAGAUUGAAGCUUUGUUUACAGCCGUCGCUUUGUGUCGCCAUUUGACGCAUUGUUGUACUGGGUUAUCCCGGUGUGUGGUGUAGUCAGUAUGGAUGAUCGGCGAUAGGUUUGAAGUGAUUCGCUCCGGAAACAGUGUCAGACGGGGAGUUUGACUGGGGCGGUACAUCUGUUAAACGAUAACGCAGGUGUCCUAAGGUAAGCUCAGCGAGGACAGAAACCUCGCUUAGAGUAAACGGGCACAAGCUUACUUGAUUUUGAUUUCCAGUACGAAUAGAAACCGCUAAAGCGUGGCCUAGUGAUUCUUUUGAUUGUGUAGAUUUCAUGCAAGAGGUAUGAGAAAAGUUACCACAGGGAUAACUGGCUUGUGGCAGCCAAGCGUCCAUAGCGACGUUGCUUUUUCAUCCUUCGAUGUCGGCUCUUCCUAUCAUUGCGAAGCAGAAUUCGCCAAGCGUUGGAUUGUUCACCCACCAAUAGGGAACGUGAGCUGGGUUUAGACCGUCGUGAGACAGGUUAGUUUUACCCUACUGAUGACAAGUCGUUGCGAUAGUAAUCCUGCUCAGUACGAGAGGAACCGCGGGAUCAGACAUUUGAUUCAUGCGCUCGGCUGAACUGCUUGGGAACUUUUUGUAAUUUAAAAAAAUUUUUCAAAGUCCAAAAAUUGGUUUUGGAAAGUUUUUGUCUCCUUCUUAAUGACAGUCAGUGGUGAUCAUAGUCAUAGUAGUAACAAAGUAUUCAAAAGUGAAUCAUCAGACGGACAAUGACAAUAAAUAAAGCUGAAGCAC